AACGCGAAGAACCUUACCUAAGCUUGACAUCCCACUGACCUCUCCUUAAUCGGAGAUUUCCCUUCGGGGACAGUGGUGACAGGUGGUGCAUGGUUGUCGUCAGCUCGUGUCGUGAGAUGUUGGGUUAAGUCCCGCAACGAGCGCAACCCUUGUCCUUAGUUGCCAGCACGUAAAGGUGGGGACUUUAAGGAGACUGCCGGUGAUAAACCGGAGGAAGGUGGGGAUGACGUCAAAUCAUCAUGCCCCUUAUGAGUUGGGCUACACACGUACUACAAUGGCUGGUACAAAGAGAAGCGAACCUGCGAGGGUAAGCGGACCUCAUAAAGCCAGUCUAAGUUCGGAUCGCAGUCUGCAACUCGACUGCGUGAAGUCGGAUUCGCUAGUAAUCGCAGAUCAGAAUGCUGCGGUGAAUACGUUCCCGGGUCUUGUACACACCG
This 437-nucleotide ribosomal RNA is filed under the name uncultured bacterium. Its description in RNAcentral is "bacterial SSU rRNA". It matches the Rfam family "Bacterial small subunit ribosomal RNA", at positions 958 to 1392 of the family's 1533-position model. The record is from RNAcentral.